GGUGUUGGUUGUAUUUGGAUCCUUUUCUUUAUUUAUUUGAUGAUUAAAUUUGGUAUUUAAGGACCGUCAACAAACUCCCCCAAGCUUAGCUCUUGCUCGUGCCUGAGCAAGGAUAGACUUAGUGAUGGAUCAGAAGUUGCUACAAUGCCUUAGAAAGUUGACGGUACACAUGCUUUCAAACAAGGUCUUAUCUUUGAGUUAGAGUAAAAUGUUAAGACUUAAAACUUAUUCAUUUUACCUUCCACCAUGGGGCUUGCAACCAUCACUUAUGUCUUGAGAAGUUAAAAGAUAGAAUGAUCAAGUCAAGCGCCAUGUCUCUUGUUCUCUGAUCAACUAUAUCUCUGGAGUUUUUGCAGAUUUUCAAAAUAAAACUCAGAGAUUCCUUGUAUGACUCUCUCAAUUCUCUCUUUUGUGAUCUUUCUGGAUCCUCACCAAGGCAGUGAUGGUAUGUGCCUUCUCUCAAAGUAUGUAGUAUUUGUGGUAUGAGGCAUAGUGACAUUGCCUUCUCUCUCAUCCUACUCUAAUAAGGCUUUGAUAUCUGGAGCUCAUAGGUGGGGGAUAAAGUAUACAUACUUACAAUACAUUUAUUGCAUAGUCAAACUGUGCAUCUAGAGAAACAAGUCAAUAUGUCAAAUCAAGAUGUGCAUGUGUGGCGAAUGAAUGGUGUAUGGUGAUGAUGGUGAAAACAAUGGUGAAAGUCUAAUUCUACUUUUGCUCUUUUGGGGGGAUACAUACCUUUCUUGCACUUUGAAGCUUUUUGAGGAGAAUGAGAUGCUAUAUAUUUUUCUUUUUCUCUCAGGUGGUUAUCUUGUACCCCUAAUUCUACUGUUGGACACUUGUCCAUUUUUACCUCUUGUCUCACUUUUUCUUUUCUUCGAGGUUCCGGGCACUUGUCCCUUUUUAUUUCCUCAUAUUUUUCCUUUUUCUUCUCUUUUUUUAGAGCACUCACCCUCCUAGAAUAAUGUAGCAAGUGGUAGUAACCGAAACAUCUUGAGCAUUUAUUUCAUAGGGAAUAACAGGGAUAGGAUAAUGUUUUUGGCUGUUCUCUCCUGCAUAAGAGUAGAAUAAUUUUAGGAGAUGGAAAUGAGUGAAUGUAUAUGGAUGCGUACUUCUAGAGUAGAAGCAGCAUGUAUGAGUGAACAUCCAAGUGAAUCUUGAUUUUAACCACAUGACAAGCUCCUAAGGGUCUACAUAGCUUGACCACACUCAAUGCUCAUAAGUAGUAAAAAAGUAAAUGUAUAGUUCAUAGUCUAGCAAGCAUGUAUGUAUCGUCGUGGUAGCAAUUUAAACUCUCAUCAUCCAGGAACUCAUCAUGCAAUAUUUUAAAGAUUUUCAAAGAUAAAAUUCUCCAGAAUUCUAGCAUCUCUAGGAAUAGAUAAACAGCAGCUCAACCUAACCAAAUCAUAUCCGUUAACGACAUAGACAUU
RNAcentral lists this long non-coding RNA (1427 nucleotides) under Sorghum bicolor (sorghum). RNAcentral's name for it is "long non-coding RNA (SBIC_LNC008830)". Lineage: Eukaryota; Viridiplantae; Streptophyta; Magnoliopsida; Poales; Poaceae. The record is from RNAcentral.